RNAcentral lists this small nucleolar RNA (128 nucleotides) under Spermophilus dauricus (Daurian ground squirrel). RNAcentral describes it as "Small nucleolar RNA SNORA63 (ENSSDAG00000019471.1)". The record is from RNAcentral. Lineage: Eukaryota; Metazoa; Chordata; Mammalia; Rodentia; Sciuridae.
AAGCUGGUUAGGUACCAAAACAGCAUAAACUCAGCUAUGAAGUGCUGUGCUGUCUAUCCCUCUGCUCAAAAUAAUGUUGUUUCUUGCCUAUACACUAACAGCAGUAAGAGACACUUGGUCUCAUGCAU